This 253-nucleotide ribosomal RNA is filed under the name uncultured bacterium. RNAcentral's name for it is "partial 16S ribosomal RNA". It matches the Rfam family "Bacterial small subunit ribosomal RNA", at positions 524 to 776 of the family's 1533-position model. The record is from RNAcentral.
UACAGAGGGGGCAAGCGUUGUUCGGAAUUACUGGGCGUAAAGGGCGCGUAGGCGGCCUGUUAAGUCGAACGUGAAAUCCCCGGGCUCAACCCGGGAACUGCGUCCGAUACUGGCAGGCUUGAAUCCGGGAGAGGGAUGCGGAAUUCCCGGUGUAGCGGUGAAAUGCGCAGAUAUCGGGAGGAACACCUAUGGCGAAGGCAGCUCGCUGGGACGUUACUGACGCUGAGACGCGAAAGCGUGGGGAGCAAACAGG